GAUGAACGCUGGCGGCGUGCCUAAUACAUGCAAGUCGAGCGAACGGACGAGAAGCUUGCUUUUCUGAUGUUAGCGGCGGACGGGUGAGUAACACGUGGAUAACCUACCUAUAAGACUGGGAUAACUUCGGGAAACCGGAGCUAAUACCGGAUAAUAUUUUGAACCGCAUGGUUCAAAAGUGAAAGACGGUCUUGCUGUCACUUAUAGAUGGAUCCGCGCUGCAUUAGCUAGUUGGUAAGGUAACGGCUUAUCAAGGCAACGAUGCAUAGCCGACGUGAGAGGGUGAUCGGCCACACUGGAGCUGAGACGCGGUCCAGGCUCCUGCGGGAGGCAGCAGUAGGGAAUCGGCCGCAGUGGGGGAAAGCCUGACGGAGCGACGCCGCGUGAGAGAUGACGGCCUUCGGAGCGGAAAACUCUGUUAUUAGGGAAGAACAUAUGUGUAAGUAACUGUGCACAUCGUGACGGUAACUAAUCAGAAAGCCACGGCUAACUACGUG
RNAcentral lists this ribosomal RNA (497 nucleotides) under uncultured bacterium. Its description in RNAcentral is "partial 16S ribosomal RNA". It matches the Rfam family "Bacterial small subunit ribosomal RNA", at positions 28 to 507 of the family's 1533-position model. The record is from RNAcentral.